GCGAAAGAAGAUAAGAGCGAACGGAGGAUGCCUAGGCUAUCCGGAGGCGAGGAAGGUCGUGGUAAGCUGCGAUAAGGCUCGGGGAUCUGCAAACAGGAAUUGAUCCGAGCAUCACCGAAUGGGGGAACCCGGCUGGUUGAAGACCAGUCACCGUAUGUGAAUACGGAGCGAACCCGGGGAACUGAAACAUCUUAGUACCCGGAGGAAGAGAAAGAAAAGUCGAUACCCUGAGUAGUGGCGAGCGAAAGGGGCAGAGCCUAAACCGUGGUGUUUACGGACAUCGCGGGGUUGUAGGAGUAACGAUAAAGAUAUGCUAAUGAACCAGAACGCUGUGGAAACAGUGACCGUAGAGGGUGACAGUCCCGUACGGGCAAGUUGAGCAUAUCGAAGUUACCACCUGAGUAGGGCGGGGCACGUGGAAUCCUGUCCGAAUCUGCGGGGACCAUCCCGCAAGGCUAAACACUCCCGGAAGACCGAUAGUGGACCAGUACCGUGAGGGAAAGGUGGGAAGCACCCCGAACAGGGGAGUGAAACAGAACCUGAAACCGUUCGUUUACAAGCGGUCGGAGUCUCUUUAUAAGGGACGACGGCGUGCCUUUUGCAUAAUGAGCCUACGAGUUGCUUCUGUCCGGCGAGGUUAAGCACUUCAGGUGCGUGAGCCGAAGCGAGAGCGAGUCUGAACAGGGCGUUCAGUCGGACGGAGCAGACGCGAAACCUAGUGAUCU
This 725-nucleotide ribosomal RNA is filed under the name Bacteroidales bacterium. Its description in RNAcentral is "partial 23S ribosomal RNA". It matches the Rfam family "Bacterial large subunit ribosomal RNA", at positions 1 to 731 of the family's 2925-position model. The record is from RNAcentral. Lineage: Bacteria; Pseudomonadati; Bacteroidota; Bacteroidia; Bacteroidales.